AUUGAACGCUGGCGGCAUGCCUUACACAUGCAAGUCGAACGGUAACGCGGGGCAACCUGGCGACGAGUGGCGAACGGGUGAGUAAUGUAUCGGAACGUGCCCAGUUGUGGGGGAUAACUGCUCGAAAGAGCAGCUAAUACCGCAUACGACCUGAGGGUGAAAGCGGGGGAUCGCAAGACCUCGCGCAAUUGGAGCGGCCGAUAUCAGAUUAGGUAGUUGGUGAGGUAAAGGCUCACCAAGCCGACGAUCUGUAGCUGGUCUGAGAGGACGACCAGCCACACUGGGACUGAGACACGGCCCAGACUCCUACGGGAGGCAGCAGUGGGGAAUUUUGGACAAUGGACGCAAGUCUGAUCCAGCCAUGCCGCGUGCGGGAANAAGGCCUUCGGGUUGUAAACCGCUUUUGUCAGGGAAGAAACGCGUCCUGGGGUUUAAAUACCUCGGGGUAAUGACGGUACCUGAAGAAUAAGCACCGGCUAACUACGUGCCAGCAG
Molecule: ribosomal RNA, 494 nt
Filed under: uncultured bacterium
Lineage: Bacteria
Description: bacterial SSU rRNA
Rfam family: Bacterial small subunit ribosomal RNA
Source: RNAcentral